RNAcentral lists this ribosomal RNA (578 nucleotides) under Aspergillus sp. F7. RNAcentral's name for it is "eukaryotic LSU rRNA". The stretch from base 215 to 368 matches the Rfam family "5.8S ribosomal RNA". Lineage: Eukaryota; Fungi; Ascomycota; Eurotiomycetes; Eurotiales; Aspergillaceae. The record is from RNAcentral.
UUUCCGUAGGUGAACCUGCGGAAGGAUCAUUACCGAGUGUAGGGUUCCUAGCGAGCCCAACCUCCCACCCGUGUUUACUGUACCUUAGUUGCUUCGGCGGGCCCGCCAUUCAUGGCCGCCGGGGGCUCUCAGCCCCGGGCCCGCGCCCGCCGGAGACACCACGAACUCUGUCUGAUCUAGUGAAGUCUGAGUUGAUUGUAUCGCAAUCAGUUAAAACUUUCAACAAUGGAUCUCUUGGUUCCGGCAUCGAUGAAGAACGCAGCGAAAUGCGAUAACUAGUGUGAAUUGCAGAAUUCCGUGAAUCAUCGAGUCUUUGAACGCACAUUGCGCCCCCUGGUAUUCCGGGGGGCAUGCCUGUCCGAGCGUCAUUGCUGCCCAUCAAGCACGGCUUGUGUGUUGGGUCGUCGUCCCCUCUCCGGGGGGGACGGGCCCCAAAGGCAGCGGCGGCACCGCGUCCGAUCCUCGAGCGUAUGGGGCUUUGUCACCCGCUCUGUAGGCCCGGCCGGCGCUUGCCGAACGCAAAUCAAUCUUUUUCCAGGUUGACCUCGGAUCAGGUAGGGAUACCCGCUGAACUUAAG